GAUCUCAUUUCUCUGGUUGCAGCUGCCUUUAGGCACCCAUUUCAGCGAGCUGCUCUGUUCUGCUUAGCUGUAGAUGCUUCCCAAAUUCCCUCUUUGGUGAAACAGGCAUUUGUGCAGGUUCCCCAUAAAAAUGACUGAUUUGGGUUUUACCAGGAGCUCUGGCACUUCUCCACUGCGAGAAAGCAUUGCAUUUACAGAGAGGUUUCUCAAGAUGGGAAUAGUGAAACAAACAUUUCCAAUGUCCUGCAGAACCCUCUGUCAGCCUCCCUGGGCAGGAAUUUCAGCCAUUCUGCAAUGAGAGCCCCUGAAAGGACCCUGCUGCCCUGUGGGACUGCCCAGCUCCCAGCCCUGCUGCUGGGGAAGGUCCCACAGCCAGCAGUAAAUGCCACCAUGAUUGCAAUGAGCCUGGUGAGGUGUGAAAUGAAGAUUAAUCCUUCCCCAGGCCAAGAACUGCCCCUGCCUGAGACACCUGGAGCUCCACACUGCAUUUCCAGGUGUGCUGUGACUUACCUGGUGCUGCUGUGGGAUAUUCAUUGGAAUAUUCAUUGGGAUAUUCAGUGCUGCUUUUUGGACAAACUUCCUGAUACAGUGUUUAUUAGAACCAGUAUUUGCGAGAAGAAACCUGGCUGUGCUCAUUUCUUGCUGAGGUUUCUCUUCCUGCCCUUGUCUCCAGCUCCAGUCCCUCUCUGCAGAGACCUGCCUGACUGCACGGCUGGGAAACAGCCCCAGGGAUGGCUCAGCUCAGGAGUGAUCACAGACAGACACUUGGCACUUCCACCCAAUUCCACACUGCUGCAAAGGGAACAGGGGAAAACCUCAGCUUGUGGCCUCUGACAGAGAGCUGACAGCCUGUCAUGCAGCACGAGCCACUGGGUGCUGCCUCAGCUCUGCCAUCUGCCGUGGUUGCCCUCUUCCCUGCCUACUCCCCGUGCAAGAUUUGGGUGUUUUCUCCACCCUGCUGAGCUUCCUGCACAGCCCAUGCCCUCGUGCCAUGCUGGGGCAGCAUCAGGAGGCUGCUGGGGAGCCCUGACCUGGACCAG
This 1040-nucleotide long non-coding RNA is filed under the name Zonotrichia albicollis (white-throated sparrow). RNAcentral's name for it is "lncRNA (ENSZALG00000006386.1)". The record is from RNAcentral. Lineage: Eukaryota; Metazoa; Chordata; Aves; Passeriformes; Passerellidae.